CCGUCAAAUAGAUGUAAUCUUCUCAUUAAUUACACAUUUUGUAUCAUAAUGUAUUUCAAAGAAUGAAGAUAACAGGGUUUUUCGUUUAUGCUUUUGUAGUUCUGAUCAUUUAUUUGUGCAUUGUUUUAAGUGAAUUCUGCUACAAGUCACAAGGCCGGUGCUCCAUGCAGUGCACCAUCUUCACGGUGCUCUUUCUGAACUUGAUUUCUGACAUCUUCCAGAGCUGAGGCUGUGACUGGUGAACUUAGAAAACAUCAAAAACAGAAUUUGUUUCUGUAGACACGUUUUAGGAAAGAGUUCUCUUCCCGAAGUCCAGGAGGAGCCACAUACCAAGGAUGUUCUGUUCCUUCCCAUUGUCGUUUUGUGGCAAGCCUUGAGUUAACGGUACCUCUACCGAGAGCAAAUAUGCUUGGUGUCCCCAAAGUCCUAGCAGUACCAUGCCUGUACUGAUCUGUAGACUUUGAUUUCUGUGUCCAGCCAGCGCAGUGUAGUGACACUGACUGAAGCCUUUGUUCUAGAUCUGUCAUCCUAUUCAAGGAUGGUUUGCAUUUUGUAAAAUUACCCUGCACCUGGAGCUGCAUGCCUUAAGCCUGAAACCUGGGCCGUGCUCGCAGUGGACAGUCUCUGUUCCCCACGCAGGAAGCGGGGUCCACAGCGCUUCUCUGACUACCUUUGGAAGGACUGUACAAUGUUAGAAUAAUUUAUUUUGCUUUACAGGAGUUUGUCAUGCAUUGACUUUAAUAUUGUAUUUUGGUAAUAAAUUUUUUGUUAAAAACACUUGCCUCUAAGUUUUAUUAACAAGGUUAAAUCCAUUCUUAUCUUGGAAAUGUUGAUUUGAUCGCUUAGAAAGUUGGGUUUAAAUAAUGAAGAACUUCCCAAAGGUUAAACUAAGGCUUAUCAUUACCCUUUGGUAGCGUGUUUUAAACUAUUGCUGACGAGCAUUAAACUGUGUUACACAAAGAUGAAAAGGCAUUUACAUUGUUUCCAUGGUUUUAAAAAUUCAGUCUAAUUUUAAAGCUUCUUUCCUUGCUAUACAGUUCAUUUUAUCUUCUGAAUCACAUCUUUAUGUGCUUUAAAUUCUGAUAUAGUCAAAGUGCUAAAAACUAGCUCUGUUAAUGACCAUUAGCAGUCUUUAUUGAAGACCAAAGAUUACAAUAAUGUGUUCACAGCUUGAUCAUUUUGGGGUCUAUAUCAAAUAUUUUUCACACUAGGUUGUCGCAUUGGCAAGUAAAGCUAACGUCAUCUGACUAUCAUUGCUCUGGUUAUCCAUUUAUGCCCUAGAAUCCUGGGCCGCCUCAGCUUAAAGUGAGGCCAGAUAUUUCUUCCUAAUAGCUGUAAUUCCUUGUCCUAACUCCCCAGGGGCAACAUAAUUAUAUCCCCAUUUCAAGAACCAAAUCCCAACAGUGUGUCACUGAAGUCCAGGUUGCUUGUAGAAAUCCCAGCAUGGAAGAUCCAGAACAUAUGGUGCCGUUCGGUAGCCACGAGCUGCCUGUGGCUACUGAGCGCUUGAAGUGUGACUAGUAUCCAGUCAAUGUCCAAUACACAACAGUUUCGAAGACUUAAUACAAAAACAAAUGUAAAUUAGCUCAUAAUAGUUUUUUAUAUUGAUUACAUGUGAAAUAUUUUGGAUAUUUUGGGUUAAAUAAAAUAUAUUAAAAUUAAUUUCACUUGUUUUUAUU
Molecule: long non-coding RNA, 1679 nt
Organism: Equus asinus (donkey)
Lineage: Eukaryota; Metazoa; Chordata; Mammalia; Perissodactyla; Equidae
Source: Ensembl